GAGGAGCGGGCAGUGAGAGUGAGGGCGGGAGGCGGCGCCGCUUUAUAUGGAGACUAGGCUGGGAGCCCGGGGGGAGGAGGAGGAGGAAGAGGAGGAGGAGGAGGAAAGGACCACCCGGCACAUCCUCGCGCACUGGCUGCCUCUGCUCUUGCAGCCGUUGGCCCAGGGCUGAUGUCAUCUACAGCAAAUCAUCUCGCCGUUGGCCCGGAAGCUGCAGGGACGAGGUGGCGCUGAAAGAUGUGAGCCGGCACGGCGGAAGAUCCCAAAACUGACAGUGGGAACAGAUGUCACUCGCAUUACUAUUUCGCUCCCCAAAGCUAUAUCGAGGCAGAAAAAAAUGUCCCAUGUUCCAGUACAAUGAAUCUUCUGACAUUAGACCGACUCUACUUAACCUCUACCCCGGGACUGACGCCCUGGAUGUACGCGGGGAGCAUUAGUGCUCUGCUAACGACGGCCUCGUGUGCACAAGCUAUUGAUCGGCUUGGCUUUCAGCUCACUAACCCCAGCUGCUCCCUGCUAUCAGGGAGAGGCGCCCAGUAAGCGGAGGAAAGAAGGGACAAGCAGGAGAGGUCCACUUCUUCUCUGUCGUCUCGGGAGGCGUUUAGCCAUCCUGCUACAACUCCGCUGCAAGCCUCUCUAUGG
Long non-coding RNA from Jaculus jaculus (lesser Egyptian jerboa), 642 nucleotides. RefSeq lists it as uncharacterized. The record is from RefSeq and is a predicted model, not a curated record. The transcript is spliced from 4 exons. NCBI's taxonomy places the organism in Eukaryota, Metazoa, Chordata, Mammalia, Rodentia, Dipodidae.